CCUACGGGUGGCAGCAGUGGGGAAUAUUGCACAAUGGGGGAAACCCUGAUGCAGCGACGCCGCGUGAGUGAGGAAGUAGUUCGGUAUGUAAAGCUCUAUCAGCAGGGAAGAAAAUGACGGUACCUGACUAAGAAGCCCCGUCUAACUACGUUCCAGCAGCCGUGGUAAUACGUAGGGGGCAAGCGUUAUCCGGAUUUACUGGGUGUAAAGGGAGCGUAGACGGCUAAGCAAGUCAGAAGUGAAAACCCAGGGCUCAACCUUGGGACUGCUUUUGAAACUGAGUAGCUAGAGUGCAGGAGCGGAAAGCGGAAUGAGUAGUGUAGCGGUGAAAUGCGUAGAUAUUAGGAGGAACACCAGUGGCGAAGGCGGCUUACUGAACUGUAACUGACGUUGAGGCUCGAAAGCGUGGGGAGCAAACAGGAUUAGAUACCCCAGUAGUC
RNAcentral lists this ribosomal RNA (440 nucleotides) under uncultured bacterium. Its description in RNAcentral is "partial 16S ribosomal RNA". It matches the Rfam family "Bacterial small subunit ribosomal RNA", at positions 338 to 795 of the family's 1533-position model. The record is from RNAcentral.